Molecule: signal recognition particle RNA, 99 nt
Filed under: Periweissella beninensis
Lineage: Bacteria; Bacillati; Bacillota; Bacilli; Lactobacillales; Lactobacillaceae
Description: signal recognition particle sRNA small type
Rfam family: Bacterial small signal recognition particle RNA
About the family: The signal recognition particle (SRP) is a universally conserved ribonucleoprotein involved in the co-translational targeting of proteins to membranes. Archaeal SRP consists of a 7S RNA and homologues of the eukaryotic SRP19 and SRP54 proteins. In most bacteria, the SRP consists of a 4.5S RNA and the Ffh protein (a homologue of the eukaryotic SRP54 protein).
Source: RNAcentral
GAAGGGCUACAAAGCAAAAAUACUUAUUCGAAUCGGGUCAGGUCUGGAAGGAAGCAGCCCUAAGAUUAUUGUAUCUUGUGCUUUGUAUUACAUAGUAUU